GUGGGGAAUUUUGGACAAUGGGCGCAAGCCUGAUCCAGCAAUGCCGCGUGCAGGAAGAAGGCCUUCGGGUUGUAAACUGCUUUUGUACGGAACGAAACGGUCCGGGUUAAUACCCUGGGCUAAUGACGGUACCGUAAGAAUAAGCACCGGCUAACUACGUGCCAGCAGCCGCGGUAAUACGUAGGGUGCAAGCGUUAAUCGGAAUUACUGGGCGUAAAGCGUGCGCAGGCGGGUUUGUAAGACAGGCGUGAAAUCCCCGGGCUCAACCUGGGAAGUUCGCGUGUGACUGCAAGGCUGGAGUGCGGCAGAGGGUGAUGGAAUUCCGCGUGUAGCAGUGAAAUGCGUAGAUAUGCGGAGGAACACCGAUGGCGAAGGCAAUCCCCUGGGCCUGCACUGACGCUCAUGCACGAAAGCGUGGGGAGCAAACAGGAUUAGAAACCCCAGUAGUCC
RNAcentral lists this ribosomal RNA (450 nucleotides) under uncultured bacterium. RNAcentral describes it as "partial 16S ribosomal RNA". It matches the Rfam family "Bacterial small subunit ribosomal RNA", at positions 354 to 796 of the family's 1533-position model. The record is from RNAcentral.